Molecule: unclassified non-coding RNA, 230 nt
Filed under: air metagenome
Description: partial contains small subunit ribosomal RNA, internal transcribed spacer 1, and 5.8S ribosomal RNA
Rfam family: Eukaryotic small subunit ribosomal RNA (bases 1-46)
Source: RNAcentral
AAGUCGUAACAAGGUUUCCGUAGGUGAACCUGCGGAAGGAUCAUUACACAAGGAUACCUUUUGGUAUACCCCAUCCGUGUCUAUAUACUCUUGUUGCUUUGGCAGGCCGUGGUCUUGACCCUGUGGGCUUCUGCCUGCAUGUGCCUGCCAGAGGACCAAACUCUGAAUUUUAGUGAUGUCUGAGUACUAUAUAAUAGUUAAAACUUUCAACAACGGAUCUCUUGGUUCUG